This is a long non-coding RNA of Haliotis rubra (blacklip abalone), 6292 nucleotides long. RefSeq lists it as uncharacterized. The transcript has 2 exons. The record is from RefSeq and is a predicted model, not a curated record. Lineage: Eukaryota; Metazoa; Mollusca; Gastropoda; Lepetellida; Haliotidae.
CGCAAUCUUAAUUUCACUUUAUUUGAUUUACUUUUUUGUUUGAAGUGAAAUUCAUCUGUACGUUUUCACUGCAAACAGACUAUAACAAGUAGCAUGCACAAUAUAAUCUUGCCAAAGCUACAUACUCACAACCAGGUUCAUUUGUUAUUACUGUAUUUUACAUACUUGUGUCUGUGAUGGUUAGAAAGUCUGAAUUUGUGAUCCCAUAUGUGAGAUCAGGCCCACUAUUUGAUCUAUUGAAUUUAUAUAUGUUUUCACUUAGGCAUUAACUCAUUAAGGACUUAUUAUAACAUUUACUGCACAUUUCCAGCUGCAGUUGCUAUGUUUUAUACAGAAAACAGUUAGUGAGACAUUGUUCCUUCAAAAAUGAAGUAAAGGGUACUCAACAUCUCGUGUGUAUUGUUGUUAUAUAAGAUGGGCCAUUUUAUAUUUUGUCAUAUUUUAACAAAAAAAUGCCUGAUGGAGAGCUUUGUCAACACAAUCUAUUUGUUUACAGAGAACAAAGUUGUAUAAUGUAAGUGAUAUUAAAUACUUAACAUUAUCAUGAAUCAUUUACUGGAAUAUUGUAUUUGAUGGCAGUUAUUUAAUAUAGCUGGUAUAUAGAUGCACAUAGAUGAUGUCUACAAACAUGUUGGUCUAUUUAUAUUAGGAGAGAGGUACCUAUGUCAUAUCUGUUUUCCUGUUUCUUUGUAUAAGGCUUAUGUAUAUCUUAAUACUGACUAUUAAAAUUACAAAAUCAUGUAAUACAUCCAAGGACUCCUGACUCAGACACACGUAUCUGAGACAAGCAGUGUUGAUGUUGCAUGUGGACUCCACAUGUUGUAUUAGGAAGGAGUUUCCUUUAUACUGGGGGAAGACGUCUCCAACUGACUUCAAAUUUAAAAGAAAAAAUGCCUGACUGUUGUAUUGAUAAUUUGUAAUGGCAUUUUAUGUGAAAGUAUAAUGACUCCAAAUUUUAUAGCCAAUUUUUAGUUAAAAAGUUCCUCUGAUAAUUGAGUCAAGAAGCCUAAAGAAAUGUUGUAUUUUCUUUCACUCAACAAACAAGAGUUGUACUUGAUUACAUAACAACUUCUUUUUAUUCUUUACACGAAGUUUCAGAGCCAAAUCUUGCUCUUUCAUUAGGUGAAAGACUUGAUAAAGGAGCAAGAACUAGCUCUGAAACGUAUAAAGAAUAAAAAGAAGUUGUAAUCCUUAAAAACAUGUCAUGUAUUCUAAAUGCCUUUCAAGAACUUCAAGAGUUGUACUUUUGAAACUGUAGAGAGUCCUUUGAUCCGAGUCAUUAAAUCAACAUAAAAAAGAAAGCAAUUAUGUUUGGUAAAUAAAUGUGUUGACCUCGCAACAGAAACAGCAACAGACCAAGGGGCCAACUUCAAUACUGCUUUUGAGUAUACGGAAUGUGAAAAUGUAGACACUUCAGCUAUUUCCUGUUAACCCUUGAAAGGCUGCCAAGGGAUAUAUGUUUCUCAGCUGUGCAUGGUUGACUGAACAAAACCCCAACAAGUUGUAAGAUACAAUUUUGUUGUUGUUGUUGUUUCAUAUUAUCAUGGUGUUCAUAUUUAUAAACAUGUAGAUGUAAGUAUUGUAUAUAUAUUUUGUAAUGUUUUGAUAUAUGGCUUCAGUGAGUUGUACAUUUCUGAUUUUCAUAUUUAAUCUUCUGUUCUGGUUUGCAAUAAUGAAUUUUUUGUUUGGUGACGUUGUGAAGUAUUGGGUGAAGGCCACAGGUGUAUGAAGGCCCGUAGUGUAUGAAUGCCCUGAGUUUAUGAAUGCCCUGAGUUUAUGAAGGGUGUUUUCAAAUGGUUGUUGCUGUUUGUCAUGGAGUUAUGAGUGGUGCAAGCAGAACAAACCACCCCAGGCUGUGAUAUAUAGAGAGCUGCUCCACAUCGGUGUUGUAGUGUCAUGUGGAAGUUGCCUAUAAUCAUGAUAAUAUACUACACAAAAUCACCAAGGUAAAUCCAUGUAUACUGAUCUAUACUACACAAAAGAAGAUAAAGAAAGCACAAUUUUUUCAUAUUGCUUUAGCAUUUCUGUCAUGCCAUUUUGAAACCAGUUGUAUUAUAUUAAAUGUACCCUGCUUACAUUUUUAAUUUCAACCCAACAACAGCCAGCUGAUUGACCCAAUGUAUUGCCCCUGUCAAGACCAGACUGUGACUAGUUUAGUAAUGGGAAAGAUUCAUGUGCUCUUUAACUUUUUUGAGUUGUAUAGAUCCGCAUAUAGGAAUUUGCCUGUUUGAUGUAAUUGAUUUAGUGCAGGGGGAUUCAAAGCCUUUACCUGUAGGCAUCCCUGGUGGGUCCCAGCCUACAAACUGGGUUCCCAGAGAAAGUACAAUAUUGAAAACUGUGCUAUACCAUGAGUGAUGAACGAUUGCUUAUCUUCAGAGGUUGUUAGGUAAACAAAAUAUAAAGUAAAUCUAUAUAUUGUAUUUUUAAAUGAUUAUGUACAGAAAUAAUUGUAUGUGGCACCAGAUUAUGAAAUAGCAGUAUUUAUUCCUGAACAUUCAUACACACAGAUUGUAAUUUCUUUCCAUUUUAGUAUUGUGUGUGUCCAUGAUGCAGGAUUUUAUGUCUUGUAGUUUCCUGAGCAUGUAUCAUCAGUAACAGGGAAAUGGUCAGCCUGAGGCCUGAUUGUUUUAGUAACAGUUUCACCACUUAAUUUCUAUAUUUUUUGUAAGAAAAUAAUUAAAGCAUGUGACAUUCAGGCAUUUGACCUGUUGAAAUGUUUGUUUUCAAUACUUACUACAAAAUACAUCUUUUAGUGUAACUGUGCAAAGGUAAGAGAAGUGUGUACAUGUAAUUCUUAGUUACGUUUAACUUAAACCCUGUGUACACCUGACCUUGAAUAUGUAUACAUUAGAUAAAUAAAUCUUAUGAAUACAUACCUCUAACACUUAACUGCCUUUUUCCUGAUAAUUGUUUCUGAAUCCAUAGGUUUUGCUUGAAUAUAAUUGUUAAAGUCCAUGGUUUUGUGUUGUCUAUAUUCCUAGUGAUCCUCCAAGCACAAUCAGCAGAAGUUAUCUCCCUUAACAGAAAGGUUUAGGUCACAAUUUAGGUCACAAUUCAGCCAGAGACACAUUUGUAGGCAAGAUGGCUGCACUAGAUUUCUUAUUUCAAGAAUCAAUGCCACCUCUGCCUGAUCAAGAAGACAUUGCCAUGGAAAUCCAGUUGCCAGAGGCUCUUUUCUUCAAUCAGCUAAGCAUAAUUACCUCAAUCUUCCUUAGUCUUCCUUCCCAUCUAAGAUCAUCAAGGUUUUGAAUGAGUGAUUGUCUCUAUUCAAGUAUUCAGACCGUUUGGGAUGUUUUUUCUUCUCAGGGAAAAGAUUCUUAUGUGACUGAUAACAGAAAUUCACCUUCACUUUUCACGGUUUUGUAGUUAAAAUAUUGUAACAUUUGUUCAUCAAGGAAGGGAGAAUCACAGAUUUUGAUGAAAGAGUUAAGCUUUCUUUAUUCCCAGUCUCUACUAGCAGUCCAAUUUCCUCUGUUGAGGAGGGAUCAUUAUCUGCAUCAGUUAUGUUCAUCUAUGCCUCUUGCCGAUCAGUUCUUUAAUGGGAAAUGUAUAGCCUUGGACAUCCUAAAAUCAGAGAAUGAUAGGAAGUUCAACAGGGCUCCAACAUCAGGUUUACUACUAGGAGGACCUGCUAGGAAGAAAGACUACACAAAACCAUAGACUUAUUUUCUUGAAGCUAAACCUGUUAAUUGACAGAAACAAAUUUCUGGAAAAAUGCAAUCAAGUGUUAGAGGUAGUAUUCUAAGAAUUAAUAUCACUGAUGAUAAUGUUCCAAACAUGUCAUUUUCAUAGAAAUGUAACACAUGUUAUAUUUGGGAUUACACUUUCUCAAUAAAGUACAGAUUCUAGUACUUUUGGGGGGGGGGGGGGUGCGGAUGGGGUUAGACAGUCCCAUCCAGGAAUCGAACCCAUACAGUCCAGAGUCUGGUGUCUAAUCGUCUGCACACAAAGUUACCUGUCUAACCCACUCAGGCUCAUUUCAAUGAGGAUUAAAAAAGGAAUCUUUCACUGACCGACAACAUAUUCAUCAAGUUUCCCAUCAGUCAUGCUAACCUUUGGCAGUGAAUGUUUGAAAUGAAUAUCUUAUCAUGAUCUAUCAUCAUUUCAUUUGUACGUCCACUGAUUCAGAUUGCGUUAAGUGUCUGUAUGGAUGCAAGAUUCUAGAUGAUCUGUAUAGAAACUGUUCCUGACAAUGUUUCAUCAACAAAUUGCCGUGUGAUAUAAUUGUAUAUAUUUUUAAUCAGCUUUAUUAGAAGUGAAAUAGUAGAUCAACAUUUUCCUUGUUCUAAUCCAUUAAUGUUUUCAUAUCGUAUAUUUUCAACACUUUCAGUCUGUAUCCUACCCAUGGUUGUAUGAAGGGAGAUACUGUAUACACGGUGUCACUGUGGUGUGUAUUAAGUCAAGUACUGGACCAAGCAUGGAAGUAAAUGGAGGAUCAGAUAUUCCUACACACAGAUUAUCAGUAAAACCCAUUGUCAGACUAUAUUUGAAGCACUGACAACAGGAUUCUGAAAGUUUAAUGUUUCUGUGUUAUUCAUUCUUAGUUUAAGUAGGUAGUUUUAGCACAAUAGUGAUUGGCUAUAUAUAUUGACAUAUAUAAUGUUUAUGAUUCUGCAAUUCGCUGUGCAGAGUUACAUCUUUUGGGGUUGAUCUUAUGACUGGGGGUGCGGCAAUGGGGGGUAGCCAAGUGGUUGAAGUGUUCACUCGUCCCGCUGAAGACCCGAUUUCGAUUCCCCACUUGGGUACAAUGUGUGAAGCCAAUUUCUGGUGUCCCUAGCAGUGAUAUUGCUGGAAUAUUGUUAAAAGCGGCAUCUCGCUCACUAACUCUCUCUUAGGAUUGUGGGUUUGAGCCCCAGUUUGCCCUGGGUUUGUCAACACCAUACCCAAGCUUGUAGGUUUCCCUGCAUUACUUUGGGCUUUCAUCACUAAUUAAGGUGCCACUUUGUGAUGUAAACUGGACUACUGUCAAAAGUAGCAUUAAAUCCAACUUACUGAUAUAUACUUGAAAAGAUUAUGCAGUGGGACUAUAUGUCAAAUUAGCGUAUUCUGAUUUUGAUAGAUUAGUGCUCUUAAUUUAACCUUGUUAAAUGAACAUGUAUAUCAAACUUAAGCAUUACAUUUAGAAAUAACUGUUACAUAAUUGUGUCAGAUCAAAGUAUAUAUUUUCUUGUCUGGUGACCAGUGUCACUUUAAAUAGUAAGUCUGUUAUACUACUGCAUGUCAGUUUAGUGGGGGAAACCUGAGUGGUGGUAACAAACCAGAUGAUACUCAGGGUGAAUUCAAGCCAGUCAUCACCAGAUCCUGACACUACUAAGGGAGGGAACUCUGCACAUCAGGCCAUAGUUCACAUAGGGGGGAAUUAGCUUAUGAAUAGGUAGGGUGUAUGCUCAAUACACAAAUGUGUAUUUUUAAUACUACUUGCAACCUUUUGAUCAAGAAACCUAACCUCCUGAGUCUUGUAUUUUGUACAAUGAUGUAACAUGUGUUGUUAAUGUUUUAAUGUUUGUUAUAUGUUUGUAUAUCUCACUUGUCACACACUGAGAUGAGAAUGAAUGGUGGUCAGGUGACUGUCACUGUAUCUGGUCCCCAUUCAAUGAAGCGAUUUAUAUAUUUGACAAUAUUAAGUCUAUGUUGAAGGUUGAGAGUUAUGGCAGUAUUAGCAUUAAGAUUGCUUUGUGGAGCGUCACUCUGUUCUCAACCAGUGAGAAGUCAAUGUGUUUCAUUGUCAGGCUUCAAAUCAUCGGGACCAGAGCCUUAGCGACUAAACUAUUGUAAAUGUAUGUUAUAGUGUUCAAAGUCUUAAUACUGAGAUUGUUUUAUGCAAGCGGGUCCUGAUUCAGAGCGCUCCAAAUUGGUCUUUUAAAAUACUGAAUAUUUCUUGUAGUUUUACAUCUGUAUCAGAGCUACAUUAAAUAGCAGCCCAGUUGUUAGAAUUGGCCUUCAGCAGCCAAUGCUUGUAACAUGGUGGUGAGAUUUCCAGACCUGGUCAUCAAAUGCCAGUUGCAUAGAUGUAUGCUUAUGGUGUCGAUCACUGGAUUGUCUGGUCCAGAUUUGAUUAUUUACAGACUUCAAUGACAUAGCUAGAACAUUGCUGAGGGUGACAUUACGCAAACAAAAUCACACAAAGCAAUCUUAGCAUUAAGGCUGUUGUUAUGACUAACAAGUGUUAUUUCACUGGUUGCCAUGGUUUCAGUUUCCUGGAAGUAACAGUACAGGUAUUACCUGACUGGUUUGUGAGGUUUGACAGGAAUGGUGUAAUUGAUAAUCAAGGAAUAAACCACUGUGAUUGUUG